UGGGAUUAAAGGCCUGUGCCACCACCACCC
RNAcentral lists this non-coding RNA (30 nucleotides) under Rattus norvegicus (Norway rat). Lineage: Eukaryota; Metazoa; Chordata; Mammalia; Rodentia; Muridae. The record is from RNAcentral.